This is a long non-coding RNA of Malaclemys terrapin pileata, 1405 nucleotides long. RefSeq lists it as uncharacterized. The transcript is spliced from 3 exons. The record is from RefSeq and is a predicted model, not a curated record. Lineage: Eukaryota; Metazoa; Chordata; Testudines; Emydidae.
CCUGCUUAGAUCAGCAUCAUUUGCUUUCUAGUUACAAACUUCAUCCCUUGGGACAGGCCCCUUGAGCCGUCCGUGGUUUUUCCUGCUGACUCAAUCCACCAGCUGGACCUUCAGGGCACACACCAAAGUCUUGGGCCCUGUGGGGGCCGGGGGCUGAUCCAAAACCCACUUUGCAGUCAGUGGGAAGAACCUGUGGAUUCCAGUGCCCCUGAAUUAGGCCUUGGGAGAGGGCUGAGUGCAUAGGAGGGGUGUUGUAUUCAUUUGGAUGGAAGAAAUGGGCCCAAAGAGUCAAAGAUGUGAACAUGAGCAUGUCACUGUCCAACAUUAAACAAGCUUCGGGGUUUAGUUUACAGAGACCUCAACCUGUUUAGGCCAAUGGCCAAAACAAAACAAAAAAACUUUUUAAAACCCUCUUCUAUCUUUUUAAGACACAGAACAGAAAGAAAGCCAGCUAAAGCAUUUGAAAUGUAAAGUAUCACGAGGCUUUUAUUUGAACAAUGUCCCUUGUUCUCUUUCCCUGUAGCUGGAGCGCCUUUAGAAGGAACCCCUCCUGUUUCAGGGAGUUGUAGAUGGUGUUAAAGUUAUAAAGUAGUAACUGCCCUUGUGGGGAGGGAGAAGAGAAAAGGUCGGUGGGAGAGGCUGCAGUUGUUACUGUUGUAGUUAAAGUCCAGGCCCGUUUCCUAAAAGACAGAACAAGACAAACACACACAAGAGGGAAAGAAGACAACAGCAAAGACAGACAAUGCAACUUCUGUCUCUGGUGCAGACUCUCUCUUGCAACCUCCCUGCUGGAAAAAACAACAACAGGCCCGCACAUGGUCUUCUUAACCACUCUGAGGCCAGCAGCUGUGGCUGCACAUGACCUGUAUGAAGCCUGCACUGAACUAGGGCGGAUGGUCUCCAGGGAGCCUGGUGGGAUGCUGCCCUGGGCUGCUAGAUGGCAGCAAACGUUCCAGAGACUGAAAGCAGCUGGCUUCAUGCAGCCGCAUUGUUUCACAGAUGGUGGCACUAAGACAUGGAGCUAGACUGCUUUAUUCAACGCCCGGAGAGAGAAGAGCGCAAUGAACCCAGGCAAAGGGCUGGUCGAAAAAUUUCCCUCAAAACUGGUUUUUUUUUAAUUGGGUGAAACCUUCUUAUUGGUCGUGUUAAAAAGCUUGUGUGAAUGCGCCCUUCAGUGAACAUAAUGUAGGGCUAAAUGAAUCACAAGCCCUCACCUAAAGCCAAAGGGUAACGUGAACCCGCCCAGGGGGUUUGGACUCUGUGGGCGGAAGAGCUUUGCUGAGUAUUGUUUUGGAUGAGAGGGAGAACAAGGCGGAACUCCAAGGAAGACAGCCUGAAGGAAUAGCUGAACGCAUGGACUCUGACCCUCGGCGAAGGUGCAGGCUGAAAAGCGAGCCCCUGGGGC